UGUUAAAGUGGAGGAAGGAGGGGGCAACGUUAGGUCAGUAUGCCCCGAAUCUCCCGGGCUACACGCGCGCUACAAAGGCCAGGACAAUGGGCUUCGACACCGAGAGGUGAAGGCAACCCCCAAACCUGGUCGUAAUUCGGAUUGAGGGCUGCAAUUCGCCCUCAUGAAGCUGGAAUACGUAGUAAUCGCGGGUCAACAUCCCGCGGUGAAUAUGCCCCUGCUCCUUGCACACACCGCCCGUCAAACCACCUUAGUUGGGUCUGGACGAGGGUUUGUCUUAUGACACGCUCGAAUCUGGGUUCAGCGAGGAGGGUUAAGUCGUAACAAGGUA
Molecule: ribosomal RNA, 331 nt
Filed under: uncultured archaeon
Lineage: Archaea
Description: bacterial SSU rRNA
Rfam family: Archaeal small subunit ribosomal RNA
Source: RNAcentral